This 77-nucleotide transfer RNA is filed under the name Anaerolineae bacterium. RNAcentral describes it as "tRNA-Ile". It matches the Rfam family "tRNA". From Rfam's summary of the family: Transfer RNA (tRNA) molecules are approximately 80 nucleotides in length. Their secondary structure includes four short double-helical elements and three loops (D, anti-codon, and T loops). Further hydrogen bonds mediate the characteristic L-shaped molecular structure. tRNAs have two regions of fundamental functional importance: the anti-codon, which is responsible for specific mRNA codon recognition, and the 3' end, to which the tRNAs corresponding amino acid is attached (by aminoacyl-tRNA synthetases). tRNAs cope with the degeneracy of the genetic code in two manners: having more than one tRNA (with a specific anti-codon) for a particular amino acid; and 'wobble' base-pairing, i.e. permitting non-standard base-pairing at the 3rd anti-codon position. Lineage: Bacteria; Bacillati; Chloroflexota; Anaerolineae. The record is from RNAcentral.
CGUUCGGUGGCUCAGUUGGUUAGAGCGCCUCUCUGAUACGGAGGAGAUCGGUGGUUCGACUCCACCCCGAACGACCA